This 247-nucleotide ribosomal RNA is filed under the name uncultured prokaryote. RNAcentral describes it as "partial 16S ribosomal RNA". The record is from RNAcentral.
UGUCCGCAUAAAGUGCACCGCAUGGAAAUGAAGACGGCCAUUAGCUGUACCAUACUCAGGCACACAAACAUACUGAUAGCAGUCGGCGUGUGAAUCAUUAGCCUUGCGACCCUCGGCAGCAAGAACCAUACGACCAAUAUCACGAAAAUAGUCACGCAAAGCAUUGGGAUUAUCAUAAAACGCCUCUAAUCGGUCGUCAGCCAACGUGAGAGUGUCAAAAACGAUAAACCAACCAUCAGCAUGAGCC